RNAcentral lists this long non-coding RNA (493 nucleotides) under Homo sapiens (human). RNAcentral describes it as "HSALNT0315111". Lineage: Eukaryota; Metazoa; Chordata; Mammalia; Primates; Hominidae. The record is from RNAcentral.
UUUUUUGGCUACCUCUUAAAUUCAAAACACCUAUUCCCCCUCAGGGAUCAUUUUGAUUCAAAUACAAUAAAAUUUCAGAUAUAAAACCAACUUCCAGUUAACACACAAAUACCUACUAUAUGCCAGACUAUAUGCUAAAACUGAAAAGGUGGAAUAAGACCCAGUCCUUGCCCUCAAGGAGCCCACGGCCUUAUUGAGGAGAAUGAAAGGUCAAUGGGAAAGCUGUCUGAGACAAUAUGAAAAUCAAUGAUGCCACUCUAGCAUUAGCUGAAGAUCCCCUUGAUUUCAUCCAGCAGCCAAGACACUAAGUGACCCAAAGGAAGAAAAGGGUGAUCAGCGUGGCUGUGUGCCUACUCAGCGCGAAGACAACAAGGAUGAAAACCUUUAUGAUGAUCCACUUCCACUUAAUGAAUAGUAAAUAUAUUUUAUCUUUCUUUAUAAUUUUUUAAAUAACGUUUUCUCUAGCUUAUUGUAACAAUACAGUGUAUAAUGC